This 69-nucleotide transfer RNA is filed under the name Rattus norvegicus (Norway rat). It matches the Rfam family "tRNA". Rfam says of the family: Transfer RNA (tRNA) molecules are approximately 80 nucleotides in length. Their secondary structure includes four short double-helical elements and three loops (D, anti-codon, and T loops). Lineage: Eukaryota; Metazoa; Chordata; Mammalia; Rodentia; Muridae. The record is from Rfam by way of RNAcentral.
GGAGAUUUAGCUCAGUGGUAGAGUGCUUGCCUAGCAAGCGCAAGGCCCUGGGUUCAGUCCCCAGCUCCG